UACAAAGUGGACAGCUCCAGACAGAGU
RNAcentral lists this non-coding RNA (27 nucleotides) under Mus musculus (house mouse). Lineage: Eukaryota; Metazoa; Chordata; Mammalia; Rodentia; Muridae. The record is from RNAcentral.